GGAAGGGUAAGUUAAGUUUAAACUCUGUGGCUCAUGCUCACAAAAUACAUUUUGUCGCUUCCU
RNAcentral lists this transfer RNA (63 nucleotides) under Metagonimus yokogawai. Its description in RNAcentral is "tRNA-Met". The record is from RNAcentral. Lineage: Eukaryota; Metazoa; Platyhelminthes; Trematoda; Opisthorchiida; Heterophyidae.